Molecule: unclassified non-coding RNA, 2839 nt
Filed under: Hevea brasiliensis (rubber tree)
Lineage: Eukaryota; Viridiplantae; Streptophyta; Magnoliopsida; Malpighiales; Euphorbiaceae
Source: RNAcentral
AAUAGAGCCCUAAAUUCGUCAGGAAAAAAAGGUUAUGAUAAUGCAGGGCAUUCACUUCUUUACAAAACGAGGAUAUGACAAAAAAAAUUAAGAAAAAUAAAAAAAGAAGAAGAAAAAGUACAGGGAAAGGGAAAGGGAAAGAGAAAGAGGGAGAAGGAGAUUAAAGCAAAAUUGAAGAGCUUUUUAUCCUCUCAUGCUCAAUGGCAGUCAUUCAGGAUGGGGUACAGUAUUAAUACAAUAUCCCGAACAGGCUGCUCUCUAUAUACACAAGUUUUCUUAGAUCAGUAGCCAUAGGAAGUAAUUAAGAGGAUUCUGGGCAGAUAUCUUAUUUCUUGCUACUGUCAACAAAUUGUGGUUGGAUGAAAUGUAAAUAAAAUGUCAAAUCCUCGCAUCUCUAGUCCACCUCUUCAAGAUGUAUUGGCUCGGAAGCAUCUUGAUAUUCCUAAAGUCAAGAACUUUCAAUGCAUGACUGCAUAAAACUCCCAUAAACUCAAAUUUCUUACACUCACAGGCAACAAUCUCUUCAGAUGAAUUGAAACUUACUGUAUAUUCUUUUUGUUGCCCGUAUAUGCUCACUUUGUACUCAAACAUAGAUCCAUUCUCAGUGCACCGGUUAAUGACAAUAUUCAAAGAGGUUUCAUAUUCUUGCUGCAGUAAUUCGAAUAUCUUCGGAGUGUAUAUAUCUCUUGCUUGCUUCAAGAGAAUCACAUCCCCCAUCAGUAUUGCCAAUAGCUGACUCAUAUCAUAAUUAGCUUCUAACUCUUUGUAGUGCCAAUCAUUCAAAAUUUUCCCAAGAUGCUUGAAAAAUGAAAGAACAUCGAAAUCAAACUUUAGAUAUUUCCUCAAGCUAGCAGUAAAACCUUCACAAAGUUGCACACUUCUGAUGUCGGCACAAAAAAUGUGCCUUCCAUAAGCUAUGGCCCAUUUCUCUCUUUCUUUAAACAUCUGAUGCAACCAUUCAUUCUCCCACAGACCAUAUGCAUCCAACAUACCAUUCCAUGCAUUAAUGAAAGGCUCAUCUUCCUCGUGCUCAAAAAAGCAACUGCUCAAGUCAUUUAUAAAUGAACCUGAACCCACAAACAUGUGAUUCAACUGUUUAAGUGCAUGUUGGUACACAUGCCAUACGCAUAUUCGGUGGUGUAUAUCAGGAAACACUGAAUCAAUUGCUUCAGCAAGUACAGCAUCUUGAUCUGUGAGGAUUGUCUUGGGCUUCUUUCCAGACAUUGCCUCUAUGAAAGUUCGAAAGAGCCACUUGUAAGACUCAAUCGUUUCAUCAUAUAAGAAAGCAGCACUGAAGACCAUCAUUUGCUUAUGAUGAUUCACCCCAAUGAAUGCCACAAAUGGACGACAAUCUUUGUACAGUCUGCAGGUUGUAUCAAAGCAAACCACAUCCCCAAAGUCAUUAUAGUCCAUUAACAUUUUUGCAUCAGCCCAAAAUAUGUUAGUUAUCUGAUCAUCAGCAUCAAGUUGCAUAGAAUAGAAGAAAGAAGGGUUUUUUAGUUGCUUACUCUGAAAAUAUUGCUGCAACCUUUCUGCUUCCCCCUCUUUCAUAUCUCUCAUUUGUUUGAAAGGUAGUUUACUAUUGGAAUUAAUGGGUUGAUAACCAUGGGCAUCCUGAUCUCCUACUCUGUUGCAUAAUAACUCCGAGACUAAUUUUGGCUGUGUUGUAGAACCAUCUACCCCAUUCCCUUCAAAUUGAGCUGUAGCUAAUCUCUUUUGCGAACGUAAUGUGCGAACCCUGCAUGCAGCAACAAGCUCAUGAUUGUGCUGUUCUUCAAAAUGUGUGACACGAUAUUUACCAUCUGAUUGACGAGAAAUGACCAGCUGAGCCAUACAUCCAAUUCUUGUUUCCUUACGAGGUCUCUUCACAUUCAAAUCUCGAUUGUCUUUCUGCCUAAAACCUUCUCUAAAACAAGUGAACCUCCUAGAUGCCACAGCACCGUCUAUCUUACUCCUAUUCACAUAAUCUUUUCUAACGCUAAAACCUACUCGCCCAGCAUAUGCAUUGUAAAAUUCAUAUGCAUGAUCUUCUGAAUCAAAGCCCAUUCCAAGUUUUGGCACCCCAUCCAUACCAGAACCUUUGGCCAAAUCAGCUUCAACUGCUUGUGCAAAAGUCAACCUCUUCUGUGAUGGCAACAUGUGAGCUGUAGAUGGGGUUACAAACUCAUGAUUGUGUUGUGUUUCAAAACGUGUAACACGGAACUUUCCAUUGGGUUGGCGAGCAAUGGUCAUAUGUGCCAAGCAACCAGUUCUUGUUUCAUGUCGGGGUUUCCUCACAUUUGCAAUAUGUUUGGGAGGUCGAUAACCUUGCCUAUAACAAGUGUAUCUUCUGGACACUACAUCACCAUUUAUCCUACUUUUAUUUACAAAAUCUUUCCUAAUGCUAAAACCUUCUAGAACAGCAUAUCUACUGUAACACUUGUAGGCAUGAUCCUCUGUUUCAAAUUCCAUGCCAACUUUGGGAACCACGUACCCUUCUUCCUCCUCUUUCACUGCAUCACUACUCCCUGACACAUCAACAAGGGAAACAUUUGGGCUUUGAGAUUCCAGAUCAUCUUCAAAGUGUGUCUCACUCUGAUUAACAGAGGACGAUUUUGGACUGUCACAGUCCUCGCCAUCAACUUCCACCCUACUUCUGUCAUUAGAAGAACCAGCUUCACGGGUCUGACAAUCAUGCUCACUCUGAAUAAACCCCAGGCUCUUUUCAACAGAAGAAGCUUCUGAGCCAGGAUGCUCCUGCUCCACAUCUGUUUCUACUGCAGGUGAAGCUUGGAUUUCAUUCUCUACAACCUCUUUCUGUACAUAACUUGAUGUAUCAGGUUCAUGACCAUCCAUUGAU